This 406-nucleotide ribosomal RNA is filed under the name uncultured bacterium. RNAcentral's name for it is "partial 16S ribosomal RNA". It matches the Rfam family "Bacterial small subunit ribosomal RNA", at positions 29 to 526 of the family's 1533-position model. The record is from RNAcentral.
AGUGAACGCUGGCGGUAGGCCUAACACAUGCAAGUCGAACGAGUGGCGGACGGGUGAGGUAUACAUCUGAAUCUCCUCUGUCGUGGGGGAUAACGUAGGGAACCUUACGUUAAUACCGCAUACGAUGGAAUGAGCCGAUGUCGGAGUAGCUAGUUGGCGGGGUAAAGGCCCACCACGGCGACGAUCCGUAGCUGGUCUGCGAGGAUGAUCAGCCACACGGGAGCGGAGACACGGUCCAGACUCCUACGGGAGGCAGCAGUGGGGAAUAUUGGACAAUGGGCGCAAGCCUGAUCCAGCCAUACCGCGUGGGUGAAGAAGGCCUUCGGGUUGUAAAGCCCUUUUGUUGGGAAAGCGGUACCCAAAGAAUAAGCACCGGCUAACUUCGUGCCAGCAGCCGCGGUAAUUC